Molecule: RNA transcript, 9615 nt
Organism: Mus musculus (house mouse)
Lineage: Eukaryota; Metazoa; Chordata; Mammalia; Rodentia; Muridae
Gene: Etnk1
Gene name: ethanolamine kinase 1
Exons: 8
Source: RefSeq, marked validated
AGCUCGACAGCGCUCCGGCAGAGCUCGGCAGAAUUCGGUAGGGCUCCGGUAGCGCUCGGGCAAGGCUCGUUAGAGCCCCGGUAGGGCUCGGCAAAGCUCGACAGUGCUCCGGCAGGGCUCGGCAGUGUUCGGCAAGGCUCGUAAGCGCUCCGGCUGGGCUCGGCCGCGCUCGGACUCCUUCGGGUGCAGGAGCCCAGCCAACCCCACAGUAGCGGAGUGCCUGGCGGUGCGCGCUCCCCGAGACCCCGAUCCCCAAGAGCCCCGAGGCCCGCCCAUUGUGCCGCGGGGUUCGCCACCCCGCCAGCCGCCUGACGCAGCCGAGGCUCCGCCCCCGGCGUGACGCUAGCGUCAGGCCAGUCCCGGCAUGCUUCGCGGCCGCCCGCGGUCUAGCGCACUGAGGCAUCUUCCCGAGAGCGGCCGUGCCUCCGCGUCUCUGCACUGCGCACCCCGUCCGGCCGCCCGGUUGCCCCCGCCGCCCGCCCGUGCGUCCGAGCGGCCGCAGCCCUCCGCCGAGGGCGCCCCGGGACGGAAGGGUCCAGCAGCCUGCCGGCGCCCGCCGCGCUCGUGGUCGCCGUCGCCGUGGUCGUCGUGGUCGUGUCCGCCGUCGCCUGGGCCAUGGCCAAUUACAUCCACGUCCCGCCCGGCUCGCCCGAGGUGCCGAAGCUCGACGUGACGGUGCAGGACCAGGAGGAGCAGCGCUGCCGCGACGGCGCCCUGAGCCUGCUGCGGCACCUGCGGCCGCACUGGGACCCCCGGGAGGUGACCCUGCAGCUGUUCACAGAUGGGAUCACAAACAAGCUCAUCGCCUGCUAUGUGGGUGACACCAUGGAAGAUGUAGUUCUGGUGAGGAUUUACGGCAACAAGACUGAACUGUUAGUCGACCGAGACGAGGAAGUGAAAAGUUUCCGCGUGCUGCAGGCUCACGGCUGUGCACCUCAGCUCUACUGCACCUUUAAUAACGGACUGUGCUAUGAGUUUAUCCAGGGCGAAGCUUUGGACCCGCAGCAUGUCUGCAACCCAGCCAUUUUCAGGCUAAUAGCUCGUCAGCUUGCUAAAAUCCAUGCUAUUCAUGCGCACAAUGGCUGGAUCCCCAAAUCUAACCUAUGGCUAAAGAUGGGAAAAUAUUUCUCUCUCAUUCCCACCGGAUUUGCUGAUGAAAACAUUAAUAAAAGGUUCCUGAGUGAGAUCCCAAGCCCGCAGCUUCUGCAGGAGGAGAUGACUUGGAUGAAAGAGCUGCUUUCAAGCCUGGGCUCACCUGUGGUCCUUUGCCAUAACGACCUGUUGUGUAAGAAUAUAAUCUACAACGAGAAACAAGGUUAAGGAUGCCCUGAGAAUCUGGAUGAUCUAGAAGCCCCUCCUUGGGAAGUGAGUGUGCACAUCAGAUUCUAGGGUGUGUUUUCAUUAUCUGUUCACCUUUGAGACCUCAAGGAGAAAUUCUUGUCUGAAGGAAUUAGUUAUUAAGAGUAAUGGACAUUAUUAAUACUGGGAAAUAUUAAAAAAAAUUAAACUCACGGUGAAAAGAAACAACAUGUUCUGUUGCUAGGAGAAUAUUUCCCAGUGCUGUAAUUUGAUUUUUCUGGCACCCUAAAGAUCAUAAGACCUCUUUAAUUUUACAUUGUUGCAGAAUCUUAAAUUUAAGGUUGAGUUCCACUUUGUAAUGAUUUGAAACAGAAUAGUUAAUGCAGAUUUUAAACAUUUCUUUCCUUUAAAGCUUUGUGUCUUGUACAAUGUGAGUUUGCCAAAUUCUCUUCAUCUGCUACAGAUUAGGUAUGCCAUUGCUGCUGCCAUGUGGCGGCGCCCCGUGCUUCUUAAACGCACUGACUGGAGCUUUGUCGCCUCACUUGUUCACAUGCACGGAGCCUGGUAACAGCCCCAUCUGUAUUUUGUUAGCUUCAUUUUCUUAUCUUUAGAUUUCAUUAUAAACUCAACAUAGCUUUUAAACGUAAAGGCCAGUGUUAAUGAGUUAACGCUACUACAAAAGUCACUGCUAAAACUUUUCAUGUUGAAACAGAUUUUAACUUUUCUUAAAAUGAUUUAUGUUUUAGUUAAGUUAUGUGUAUAAGCGGGACUGUUUCUACCUGCUAUUUUAACUGUGUUUGCCAAAUUCUAAAUAUACUUUUGAAAAUGGAAGCUUUUAUUUAUGUUGCAAAAGUAAGCUUCGGGACUGGGCUGUGUAUUUUUAUUGGCACGUAACUAUUAAAAUGAGCUCUACGAGAAGCUGUGCUUAAACAGCCCAAGGCAUCAGCCGCUGCUGUAAGUCACCUGUGAGCGCUCGGCUGCUUCAGUCACGCACAUGGUAGAUGUUGAACUCUGCUCUUUGAACGCUCGUGGAGGCAUAGGUAUGUUCUGGAUCGUUGUAUUUAGUUUUGCUUGUUGACAGUUUCCUAGAGAAUACUCAUAGUAUUCUUUUUUAAGAAUAACAUUUUUCUCUUCAGAAAUGCUCAUUGUAAAGAAGUUUUAAAAGAAAGAGAAGAAAAGUUUAAAGGAAAGUCACUAGUCUACCACUACAAUAAAUGAGAUGAACAUUUUGUUUUGGUUUAUUUCAAUUCACCUUUGCCCUAUAUCCUCUUUUCUUAGACAUAGUUUAAUAAAUUGUAACACAGUAUAUUAGCUGAUUUCAAUAUCCAUUUCGUAACUUUAUCUUUUAGACUCCUAAUUUUGAGUGCUUUGUCUCAGUCCAGGGCUUGCCGUGAGACUUUGUCCGCAGCUUGUCACUGCCAAUCUUGUCCGGAUGCCCUUGUGUUGCUCGCUGAAAUCCUCCAGUGACGGGUGCUUGUCAAGCAGCCAUGGGCUUGCAGCAGCCACAGGGAUUGCAGUGGUUUAUUCUUAGUAACAUUUAAGGACCCUUACCAUUCACUGUAACAAGAUGCAUCCAGUUUUGCAAACUGGAAUAUACUUUGAUCAUUGCUCCUUUUCCCAAUACAGUGUUUAGGGUCAACCCCAGGCCUGGUGCCUGCUAGGCCUGCUAGACCACAUCUCAGCUCAGGCUGCUCCCAGCCCCUGGCCUGCCGUCCUUACACAGUUUUAGAAUGGAAUCCAGUUGCUCUCUAAAGAGCUUCACAUUUACCACAGCAGCCCCUGGUCAUAAGUUCUUAACUAUAACUAUGCUCAUAUACUUCUGGAGUAAAUAUCCAGAUCUCUAUUAAGGCAGUAAAAUUAAGACACUGCUUUCUUUGAGAAACGCCCCUGUAACUGCAGCACACGGCUUACAGGACAGGAUGACCACGUUGUUGUUACACAGUCUCUCAGCCUGACCAACUUGAGAUGGACUUUCGCAGCAUGGCCACUCUGUGUCCACUGCAGCUGGAGUUCCAUGGGCACACACGUCCUUGGUGUGCACAGUGACGUACAUUAGUUUUUAAAAAAAAUCAGUAUCACUUCUGUGUUUUAUCAUAGAAUAUAUUCAGCUUAUAUAUUUACAUGUAAUCCCACGGUAAUGAGCACUUAAAAAUUAAAAAUUUCUAAGUCAUAGUAAUCACUUGUAAAAGGUGGGCAGAGUUGUCUUCACACACACACACACACACACACAGAGUGAGGGAGAGAGAGACAGAUACACACAUACAUUUGAAUGAAAUUUUAAUUUAACUCAUGUAAUGCCCUUGAGACAUGGAAAACGCAGUUGUGAGGUUAAACCAUACAAGCUUAAGACUUUGACAGCAUCAAAUUGAUCACCACGUUUACUGUCAGAAGCACAGAAUUCAUGGUUUCCCACUUUCUUUCCUACGUUAGAUAAGCUUGCUAGUGUAGAGUUUGUCAUAGGCGAUGUCUUGUUCAGAUAGGCUGUUAACGAUUCACAGUUGUUUCUAAUUAAAUAUGAGUUUUUAAGUUAUUGAUGCCCCCAUGUGGUGAAAAGCGUAUCUUUCCUCUGUUAGAACUUGGAAAUGACUAUAUUUUCAUUUUAAUAAAAGUGGAUAAUAAUGUUUUUGAAAUGCUGUUGAUCAGGGACAUAAUUUGAAUUUUGUAAAGCUCAUUGCCAUAAAAUUCACAGCCUCACCCUGUGUUGUCUCAGAAGUGCAUGUAACCAAGCACGCCCAUUGAGACAAAGUAUAAGAGAGACUGAGUUAUAGAUAGCAUAGGGCUUUUCUGAUCAUGUUUGUGAUUUCUUAUUUGCUUUGUUUCUGUGUCUCACAUAGGUGACGUACAGUUCAUUGAUUAUGAGUAUUCUGGAUACAACUACCUGGCAUAUGAUAUUGGAAAUCAUUUCAAUGAAUUUGCAGGUGUCAGCGAUGUAGACUAUAGUCUCUAUCCAGAUCGAGAGCUCCAGGGCCAGUGGCUGCGCUCUUACCUUGAAGCUUACAAGGAGUAUAAGGGCUUUGGCAGUGAUGUCACUGAGAAGGAAGUCGAGACUCUCUUCAUUCAAGUCAAUCAGUUUGCGUUGGCUUCUCAUUUCUUUUGGGGACUCUGGGCUUUGAUACAAGCUAAGUACUCCACGAUCGAGUUCGACUUCCUUGGGUAUGCGGUUGUCCGUUUUAACCAGUACUUUAAAAUGAAGCCUGAGGUCACAGCACUAAAAAUGCCCGAGUAAAGAAGAGGCCUCGCUGUUCUCCAGGAGCCGAGCGACGCUUGUGGAUGUUUCUGAGAAAUUCCAAAAGCCAAUAUUUGUUAAAACUCAUUUAAUUUGGUUAUCUUGCUUUAAGGAUUAUGCCUCUAAACAACCAACCUAUUUUUAAAUAGAAUGAUGUUGAGAUAUGCUUACUGCUGUCAGUGUGUGGCGGGCUAAAGAGUUGACCAUCAGCAGGGAGAGUGAGGAGUGGGGCUUUAGCCUGUGGCAGUACAGCCAUGUUACAUGUGAAUUAUUUAUUACAGAUUUGACAUGACUGACUACUUUGAUCUUUCAUUUGUUGGUUCAGUGUAUGCAAUGAGAAUAUUGUGGAAAUCUUUAAAAGGUUUUGUUGAUAGAUUUAAUUUCAGAAAAACAUUCUUGUUGUUCAAUGUAACCUUUGUAAAAUGAAUCAUUUACUCUCAACCUUGGCAGUCACUGCCUCAGUAGUAACUUAGGGUAUUCUAGAGAAGGGCCCAUUGAGGGGGGAGUAAGGGAGUUACUGUCUCCUGGGGUAUACUUUUUUGAAUUGGAAAUUGGAAAUCAUUUCUUUUGGGGGAGUACAACUUAGAAUUAAAUUGUCUCUACAUAGCCUGACAAUAUAAAAUAUAUUUACUGUAUAAGCCUGGAAUAUAACAAUUUAAUGUUAAAAUCUGUUAUUAAGUCAUGUUUUCAAAUACUAGAUACAGUCAUUUAAGGUCAUAGUCCCAAGUUUUAGAAUUUACCUAUCAAAUUGUUUCUAACCAAAAGUUUUGUUUUACUUAAGAUACUCUGUUUUUGUUCAUUAAGUAAUAGCUGGUAUUGUUAGUAUUUGAAACAAACAUACAGAGUUCAUCAUACUUGGAAGCAAGGAAUAUCAUUUAGAUGCUUUUUAUUCAGAUCCAUUCCUUAAGUUGGUUUUGUGUCUGUAGAGUCAGCAAAUGAUUAAUUAUACAUGUGAUUCCAGAGUAGUGUUGUUGAAGCAGUUACAGAAUCAGUAAGGAACAUUUAGCUAGGUCAUUGAGCUUGACUACUUACAAUCUAACAAAUAAGGAAAUGUGAAUUAGACAGUAGUUGUGGUAGGAGGACUUGUUUUGAUUUAUCUUGGUUUUGUCAGUCUAGUUUUUAUUUUGUGGAUGUGUAGGGGGAGGCAACUAUUUCAUGAAAGAAAGUUAGGUCUUUGAGGUAGACAAGAAGGCUUUAAUCUUUGAAGACUGCUCUGUGGGUUGAGCAGUCAGGGGUAACUUUACUUAGAUUAGUCAGACAGGCUUUGCACUUUGGUCACAUAAGUGCUUAUGUACAAAGUUGGCUCCAUGGAUCUGCAUAUUUAAAGUAUGCACUACAGAUCUAUCCUAAGAUUGUCUGGUGUUCCACAUGACUUAUGUUCUCAGCCAAGUGCUUUCAAAUACUUGGAUUGUCUCAAGGUGUUCAAACCUAAUAAAGUAGAAACAUGCCAUUUGAAAUGGUAAAUUCUAGCCACAUAUAUACACUCUUAAAUAUGUGUCUCUAACAGUGUUAGACCUGGCUUCGGUUUCUACCUCCCCAGUGCUGUCAUGUUCAUGUUUGUUUUUAUGAACCACGUUACUUACUGUAAGAUCAUUACAAUUUUGCUGACUUCCUUGAAUGGAAACAAAUAAUGACAAGCUCGUUACAACGUUCAAGCAAACCUGAAAAAAGAAAAAACAACUGGCUUAGUGGAAUUUUCAUUCAUGGUUGAAACAUUGUCGUAGGAUGAUAAAAAUGUGAGCCUCCUGAUUCUUUUCUUUCCUCCUUAAAAUCCGAGAGUGUGUGUCAUGUGGAAACCCUGGAGAAGACAGUGUUGCUAGUCUGUUCCUGUUCGUGAGAAUGCUUUGAAUGGAGGCUCACUGUGCUGCGGCGGCUGCGGCUGCUGCCGGUGCUGCUGGACUGCAAAGCAGCCAGCGGAAAUGUGACAGGCUCCUGUGGCGUGAGUGCAAUGACAGCGAGGCGUCCUUGUUCACCCUGCUAGCACGUAAGAGAUCGUGGAGAGAGACCAGCACACGGGAACUCUUGCCCCCAUUCCUUGGCCAGAUUUGGGUGCUCUGAUGCACCCGCUUCUCAUACAGCUUUUGGGGAUCAUGGUGUAGACUAUCAAGAGGAUUCAAAAUGUCUUUCUUUGUAUUGACCAUGUAAGGGAUUCUAAAGAGGGUAUAUUGGGACUGUUCUGAAGAGCAUCCCUCUAAAAUGUGUCCUGUGGCUUGCUAGAUAUCAGUUGCCUUCUUUUGUUCAGCUAAGGAACUUGAAUGCCUUACCUAAUCACUCAACUGGUAGUAAGCUCGUUUUGUAAAUGUGAAAGUGGAUGUUAGAAGUGGCAUUCAUGGAUGUUCAAUGUAAUCAAUAGACCGUAGUGGCCUGGAUGCUUUCACAAGCAAAAUUCCCCAUUUCUGCCCUCCACCCCCAUCCUGUUUCCCUGGCACACUGUAUGACCUUCAACCUGACCAGUGAUAUUUGAUAGCCUUCCUCUCCCUCUGUGCUACCACCAUUUCUGGAAAUGAGAUGUGGUGGCCCCGUCUUGCUGUUGGCAUGAUCUGCCUGAGAUGAACAUGAGCACAACCCUCAUCAACUAGGUCUGCUUGGAGUGUAAAUAGGACGGUGUAAAUAAGCUGCUGCAAUUAGUGUGAGUGUUGUCUUGCCUAAAGAGUGUGUAGUUCUGCAUUUUCCUUUGUAGAAGUUUUUCUGUCACUAAAUGAUCCAGCCUGUUGUCAUUAGGCUGGGAACCGAGCAGUAAGAUAGCAGGAACUGGAAGGAAGGUUUAAUGGUUUAGUUAACGUUGGCAUUUAUUUAUUUAGCCUCUCAGUGCCUAAUACGACUUUUCUCCAUUUUUUACUUGGCUAUUAAUUUUUUUUGUAGGUUAGAUUCUGGGAAGCAGUAUAUUUAUAGAGCUCAUCUUUGAGUCACAAUUUGAAACUAAAGGAAACUAAAAAUAUAAUUUGUUUGUAAACUGAAGUGUGGUCCCCUUUUCUAUUUUCAGAGUUUGUUGACACUUUCUACAAAAACUUGAAAUUCAAUGUGAAUGUAAAUCUCAUCCAUACGAGACACAGGGCAAAUGACGUCUCUCACGUUUGUCAGGCCUCUCCUCUGGAGUGGCUCAGUGUGGGCCAACUAGUUUUCUCUCCCUGACCCCCAAAUGUUUAUUUUAACUUUGUGUUGCUAACAAAAAAGAAUUCCCGCAAACACUCGAAAGAAAAGUUAGAAUAUUUGAAAAGUACUCAGUUGUCUCAGUUGUCCGCAGAGCCCGUGUCUCCUGGUGACCUCACUGACUGACUUACAGAGGGCAGUAGGAUCAGGUGGGACUUUACUUUUUUCUCUCUAACUUGCUUUUAAGCAUUUUAUCCUGCAUUCCAGAGUACUGUAGACUUAAGUAUUCCCUGUUAACGUGUCACCUGUCACCAUGCUUUGUCCUGGGGUUGUCCUCGUGGCAGCAGCUUCUGCUACCUCACAGGGAAGGUGUGUGCAGGUGGAGAGCCUCCUGACAGGUCUCUGGCUUCAACUGCUGCUGAUUUUCCUCUGUCAGAUUGUAGGCUGGCCUUUACUGUGAAGCUGAGCUGCAUCCUCUGGCCCGUUCCUGUUCUGAGUAGGUGGUGAGCCGCCUUUCCCCACAGUGACAGCAGUGUUCAGUCUUGGGUUUGACAAAUGCUAUCAGCUGCUCCAGACAAAACAUCCCCAUUUCUGGAAUUUCAGUCCAUGUUUCUGUAAACGAAAAUACUGAAGGCUUUGCAUUACUUUGAAUUCUUGAAGGCUAAAUUCAGUGACACGUUACAGAAUGAGUUAGAUUGGUUUUAGCAGUUUUUAAUGCUGAAAAUUUUCACUUUUGGCUCAGUUUGAUACGGGAAGAAACCCCAAAGUAUUUGGAUUAGAAACAAGUCGUGAUGCUUGAUCGAUAAGCACUUUAACUCCUGUGUUGGCUGACGCUUCUUUCUCUCCUGGACUGUAGACUAUGGCACCACCAACCUAUCUUUGUCCAUUGUGCAUUGUAUGGCGUAUGCACUUGCAAAAAUACUCUUUAAAAUAGUUAUAAUUUUAUCUUUUGGUUGUCUUACCCAUGGUGGUCCUUUAGAUCCUGUCAAGUAAGUUUUAAUAAAACACUAGGUAGUUAUAGAAAACUGAGAACACCACAUUGUCUUUUGAUUAGUUUGCGAAGGUGGAGCAGGAAAGCCUAUCCGAUUGGAAUUGCAGGCUUCCUAGCUGCAAACUCUUGAGAGCUAGGUUGAAACCCAAUGACACCUGCAGAGCGGUGGAGGGCGGGGAGUGCCUGUUGUCCACCCCUGCACUGUGGCGUGCUGCUGUUUGUUGUAGGUAGCGACGUACUGAGUGUUCCUUGUUAGUAAUCUGGAGUCGUCCUCUGUAUUUACAUGUACUAAAGUAACUGUAAACUAAUGGAACUUGUAAGAACUUUCCUGUAUUUAGGAGCUUUUGUACAGCAAGGUCACAUGUCCUGAUUGAAAGAAGAAGACAUGCUAUUACCUAUCAUAUGCAAGGGAAAAAGCUGAAGUGAGGAGUUGUCUUUGCAUUAGCUGUCUGUUGAAUUGGGGAGCUAUGGCACAGGAUCUUAAAUUUGUGUUUCUCAAAUGUGAAUUGUAGUCUAAUGCUGCUUUGUAUAGACUAAGUGCUAUGGCUAGUCUCAGCACUGACCGUGGAGUGAUACCUCGCAGUGAGCGCAGCCUUUGUUCUAGCUUCCCCGACUCCGCAGCACUGUCUGCGUGCUGGACAGCUUGCUUAUCUGUCUGCUAGCAGAGAUACUUCCUGCUUUUUCCUUUGUUGUUACAUAUUUUUAUGUUUGAAAUUUAAUUUUUACUACUGUUAAUUUAAGUAAAAUUUGUUCCAUGUAUAAAUUGGCAUUGCCAGUGAAAAUCAACAGCCUCAUUCAUGACGCUGCUGAAGUGAAGUACAUUUGUGUUCUGUGUUCAUGAACUUGCAAUGAAGCCGUGUUUCUUUUACGAUAAAGUGCGGCUUAGGCUUUAUUUCUGUUUAAUAAGGCUUUCUACCAUUGAUUAAAUGAAGGAAUGUAUCUUUUUGAAGAGAUUUAUAUUCUGUAAAUAAACAUUGGUUGUAACAAUAAAGUUGAGUUCUAACUAUAA